Long non-coding RNA from Bombyx mori (domestic silkworm), 2047 nucleotides. RefSeq lists it as uncharacterized. The transcript is spliced from 2 exons. The record is from RefSeq and is a predicted model, not a curated record. NCBI's taxonomy places the organism in Eukaryota, Metazoa, Arthropoda, Insecta, Lepidoptera, Bombycidae.
ACAUUAUUUUGACGUUUUGAAUACAUUUAGUAGUUUUUGUGAUCACAUGAUCGCAUUUUUAUUUAAAACAAUUCAUAUUACAUACUUGAAAUGAUGCGUUCCCGUCAGUUUUUUUUAAAUCACUUUCUUAAAUAUUUAAAUGUCCUUGAUGUUCAACAUUAAAUUCUAUCCGAUGAUCUACAAGCGAAGUAAAUUGUUCCUUCGAAAUAAGAAUAGCUGUCGGAGCACCGUGGUUCAAGAAGAGCUUGGAUCCUCAUGACGACUUGAAGUUGGACUCCAUUAGUAAGCAGCUACAGUCGCCAUCAGUGCGCCUUUUUGAGGAAGCUGCGCGACACGAAAACCCGCUAGUCGUGGCCGCCGGUAAUUACAAAUCCGAGCCUGCGGACCGAAUGGUGAACAGUCGUCGUCGCCCUAAGGCCUAAACGCGUCAUUUCGAUCCUCCCGAACCACUAGCUUUGUGUUUUUAGGUACCUCAACGACCGAGUCGAAGCCGAAGGGUUCGACGAGCAAAUUAUUAAGGCUCAGACACAGCCCACUGAGCUUUUCACCGGAUCUUCUCAGUGGGUCACAACUCCGAUUCAGUGGUAGAUUCUGCGAAGCACUGCUCUUGCUAGGGCUAGUGUUAGCAAAUUCUCUCAGACUGAGGCCGUAGUUGACGAGUUCGACGAAGACGGUGACCGGUGAUAAGAAGAUUUACGUGUCGUGCCGCUUUGUUGAAAUAGCGUUCUGACGCUUCCUUGAGCUACUUACGUAUCGGUAAUAGAUUUAGGUCGGCGUGAAAAUCUACAUUCCUCACAUACCACGGUGCUCCCACGACUAUCCUGCAGAAACGGGAUAGGGUGAUCCGUAGAGAGUUAACGUGUGUACGGGCCGCGUUAGCGAACACUUCGCUUGCAUAGGUCAUGACAGAACGUAUGCAAGUUUUGUAGACUGUCACCUUGUUAGGAAGGGACAAUUUACUUCGCUUGCAGAUCAUGGAGUAGAGUCGAACGAGGGGUUGCGUACUGACUUAAUGUGGGGUCCGAAUGUCAUCCCCGUCUUGAGAGUGACGCCUAAGUACUUAGCCUUUGAAGCCCACGGUAUGGGCUGGCCAAAGAUUUUUAUGGCGGGAACGGAGUUAACGCCCCUAAUUGGUGACGAGAUAUUAGCAGUAGUGUCGGGGCGACCCUUUUUGAAGAGCACGGCUGUGUUUUCGUGGGCUUGAUGUCAAAUUUUCCCUCGUUCAAAUCAACGAGAUGCGAAAAUUGAUAGUCAACCAUAAUGUGAAUGUGAGGCCAAAAUUAAGACAAACUCUAUUCACAAAUAAUAAAAACGUAACUACAUGUAACAUUACCAUAUAACUUUAUUGGACUUCAAAACAAAGUUCAAGUCGGAUCUGCUAUUAAUAGAAAUCUGUAAAAUUCGCUAAAAAGUUCACUAGCCUUACAUUAAAUAAUUAUAGAUGGUCUUUUGAAAAUCUUUAUCUUUAACAUUGAAAAGAAAAUUUUUUGAGCACGCGUAGAAAAUGAUUUUCAUUUCACCAUUUCGUCUGGUCAUAAAUUUAUGAAAACUUAAUGAGUGCACGAAUCAGUGAAUGAAUGACGAAACGAAUUGGUAGGUAGUGCUGGAAUGAAAAAAAAAACCUUGGAACUAUUUGAAACAUUUCACAAUAUUCUACGUUUUGGAUUGGUACCUAUAUGUCGUAUUGUCUACGAGCUCCGAUAAAUAUUUAUCAUUCAAUUCUGAUUUAAGGCAUAGAACUUUUUAAACUAUUAAAGUAUUUUGUAUCCUGCACAUAAUUUCAUAGACAAUUAACAAUUGUGUCCUAGUCAUAGAGUAUCUGCUUUGGUUCCAAAUUCCAAUUUUGCAUCAAAGUAUCCAAAGAUUCGCCGGUGUUAAUUAGUAUGUAUUGUUUUUAUUCAAUGUUAUAUUUAAAUUUAAUCAAAGGUUUUAAGUCUAUUUUUGGUUGUUAAGGGUAUACUGAAGUAUAUUUUUUAAAAUUAUUUUUCUUCAGAUGAUAAUUUUUAUGAAAGAAUUAAAUAAACAACUUUAUUUGCUUUGAAUUUUA